GUCGAAGGCCAUACCACCCCGAAGGCGUCCGGUCUCCUCUGAUCUCGUGAAGAUAAGCAGGGUCUGGGCCAGACUGCUACUUAGAUGAAACGCCACUUGAGAAAACCAGGAGACGCAGGCU
This is a ribosomal RNA of Gorilla gorilla gorilla (western lowland gorilla), 121 nucleotides long. The record is from Ensembl. NCBI's taxonomy places the organism in Eukaryota, Metazoa, Chordata, Mammalia, Primates, Hominidae.